UUAGGCGACCAUACCACGUUGAAAGCACAGGUUCUCAUCCGAUCACCGAAGUUAAGCCACGUUGAGCGUGGUUAGUACUUGCCUGGGUGACCGGCUGGGAAUACCGGGUGUUGCCGGCC
Molecule: ribosomal RNA, 119 nt
Filed under: Trichobilharzia regenti
Lineage: Eukaryota; Metazoa; Platyhelminthes; Trematoda; Strigeidida; Schistosomatidae
Source: RNAcentral